GCCGCGGUAGUAUAGCCCGGCCAAGUAUGCGGGCCUCUCGAGCCCGUGACCAGGCUAAAUACCUGGCGGGAAACCCGGGUUCAAAUCCCGGCCGCGGCACCA
This 102-nucleotide transfer RNA is filed under the name Thermoprotei archaeon. Its description in RNAcentral is "tRNA-Glu". It matches the Rfam family "tRNA". From Rfam's summary of the family: Transfer RNA (tRNA) molecules are approximately 80 nucleotides in length. Their secondary structure includes four short double-helical elements and three loops (D, anti-codon, and T loops). Further hydrogen bonds mediate the characteristic L-shaped molecular structure. tRNAs have two regions of fundamental functional importance: the anti-codon, which is responsible for specific mRNA codon recognition, and the 3' end, to which the tRNAs corresponding amino acid is attached (by aminoacyl-tRNA synthetases). tRNAs cope with the degeneracy of the genetic code in two manners: having more than one tRNA (with a specific anti-codon) for a particular amino acid; and 'wobble' base-pairing, i.e. permitting non-standard base-pairing at the 3rd anti-codon position. The record is from RNAcentral. RNAcentral also lists the same sequence under 1 other name. Lineage: Archaea; Thermoproteati; Thermoproteota; Thermoprotei.